CCCUUAGAUGUUCUGGGCGGCCUGCGCACUACAAUGGCGUGUGCAGCGAGUGCCGAAGUAGAGUUUUCCGAGGUAUUCUUGCAAUGCUCGUUUUGAUGGGGAUAGACCCUUGCAACUGUUGGUUUUGAACGAGGAAUUCCUUGUAAGCAUGGUUUAUCAUCCGACGCUGAAUGCGUCCCUGCCCUUUGUACACACCGCCCGUCGCUCCUACCGAUGAGUCGUCCGGUGAAGUUCGUAGACCUCGUGAUCGCGGAUCACUGGGGGAAGCAAAAUGAACCUCGCGGUUUAGAGGAAGGAGAAGUCGUAACA
This 309-nucleotide ribosomal RNA is filed under the name uncultured eukaryote. Its description in RNAcentral is "partial 18S ribosomal RNA". It matches the Rfam family "Eukaryotic small subunit ribosomal RNA", at positions 1470 to 1796 of the family's 1831-position model. The record is from RNAcentral.